CAGUCGCCGCGGGAAUACGAAGGGGGCUAGCGUUGUUCGGAUUUAUUGGGCGUAAAGCGCACGUAGGCGGAUCGAUCAGUCAGGGGUGAAAUCCCAGAGCUCAACUCUGGAACUGCCUUUGAUACUGUCGAUCUGGAGUAUGGAAGAGGUGAGUGGAAUUCCGAGUGUAGAGGUGAAAUUCGUAGAUAUUCGGAGGAACACCAGUGGCGAAGGCGGCACACUGGUCCAUUACUGGCGCUGAGGUGCGAAAGCGUGGGGAGCAAACAGGAUUAGAUACCCCCGUAGUCCCUGUCUCUUAUAC
Molecule: ribosomal RNA, 301 nt
Filed under: uncultured bacterium
Lineage: Bacteria
Description: partial 16S ribosomal RNA
Rfam family: Bacterial small subunit ribosomal RNA
Source: RNAcentral